AUCGCAACAGAUCGGGAAGGAAAAAGAGGGAGCUUUCUUACUUUGAGGGGAAUGUUGUCUGGCUCGAGGUGCGCAGAAACCUGGCGAUGGAGAUCUCAUCGAUCCAGGUUGAUCUCGGACCAGGCUUCAUUCCCCUCAAGUAGAGCUCCCGUUCAGCGCGCGUCGCCGAUCCCCCUCUGCCCCUCUUGUUCAGCUUGCCGCUCUCGCCUCGCAUGGUGAGUUUCUCUCGGUCAUCGAUCUAGCGCGAUUUCCUCUCUUGGCCGGUUUUUGAACAUCCGAUGGCUCUUGUGAUCUACUAGCUAGGUUAUUAUGCCCGCGGCUGCAACCAUGCAUGAUUAGGAUAUGAUUAUCUCGGCGAAUGUUUCCCUUGUGUUGGGUUUCGUGCGAUCUAGCAUGCAGCAGAUUGGUGCAAUCAUGAGCCCGGAUUCUUGACUCUGAAUAACCUGAUGCAGGCUUUCUCCUUUUUUUCUUUAAACUAUGGCAUGGCAUCUUGCUUGUUAGUUGUGGUCUUUGCCCCCUGCCCACUUUUUCCGAGAUCCCUAAUCUGACAGGAGAAAGCUGGGGGAAAAGCUUGUGUAUCAUCGAUGACUUUUACAUGAAGGGAUCUUCUUAUCUUCUCUUUUGAUCCGUACUGUAGCAUCUUUGCCUUUCUCUCUCCUAGACCUUGUAGCUGCGCUAAUCUCUCUUUUCUUCUCAAGAGAUCUCGUUAAAUCCCCAUCUAACGCUAGUCAUAUUGCAUCAAUGUGUAUAGCCAGAUCAAUCCAACCAGUGUUGAUGCUUCCCUAAUUUGAUCUCCACAAAUUAAGAGCAAAGGGAUAACUUAAAAGAUACUGUAUUCGGCCCGAUGUGUGUUUCCGAAUGGUGAAGACGAAGGAGCAUACAACAUGCGAGCAUGAGCUCAUGUGUGUUCUCUGCUUGAUGCAGAAUAAAUACUGCCAUCUACUAACAUCAAUGGCAGAUUUGUUUCUUCGGAAGACCAGGCCAAAAGUUAACGUAUCGAGGUGUGGUUCAUGAGUAGUUGUCUCCUUCCCUUUGUUUCCUCAUACAUCAAAGCAGGACACGUCAUGCACUGCUGAUGAACCUGUCCCAUGGGGGGCAUGGCGCUGUAACUUUGCAAUUCUACCUUCACCCCUGCCAUGUGCUAUACCUUCCAACUAUGUGCACGUUAUCAUGAAACAUUCCAUGAAUGUGUAGUGGUAGAGCCUACACAUACACUGAUACACAACCAUAUAAAGGGCUAUAUCGUAAUGGCGCUUUAUGGGUGUUCUUCAUGUACAGCUUGUAGUGUUAGUAGGAAGUUAUGAUUACAUACGACAUCGUAUGCAUUAUUUGGUUAAUUUAAUUAAUAGUGACAUAUAUAUUGAGAUCUUUCAUGUUGGAAAGGCUUAAAUCACAUUGUUGGUGGCUCAUAUCAGGUGCAAACCAAUCUCUCCGUGUAAACCAUGCAAACUUUAAUCCGAGUCAUCGGAUCAACAUCCAAGGGGAGGGGCAUAGGGGGUGGGAGGGGAGAUUUGCAAAAAUGUGAUUACUCAAUCCAAGGGCGGACGAUUAAUUGUAAAAUUACUCAAUUCCCCACACCCCUUGGAUGUUGAUCCGGUGGGCCAGAUUGAAGUUUGCACAGUUUGCGCGGAGAGGUUGGUUUACACCUGAUAUAUUCCCCACUUAAUUAUAUGCAUGAUACAACUGCCCAAAUUCCAAAAGACAUGUUAGUAACGGCACCCUACAAAUGGGUUUUGCUUAAGUUGUUUCUCGAUCAUAUUCUAUGUAUAUAUCUGAUGUUACUAUUCUUUUGCUCACAAAUGUUGACACGCAUGCAGCUCACCGGUAUGUUAAUGCACAAAAGGAAGCAGUAUAUAUACUCUUUUAAUAUUUGCAUCUGAUCGACUGGCGCCGCAUGUUAAUGCACAAAGGACGAAGAUUUUAAUAUACUAUGCAGGUAACUUGUUGUCAGGCGGCACAGCCAGCUGGUUAACUUUUUUUACAGGUCAGGACCGAGGACGUUUGAGGUUUGAACUUUGAACUCAACAAGUUCAUGUGCAAUGUUGAUUAGCAGUGGUGUCCUUUUGAAGAAGGGACAGAGGCCAGCAGGAGCCAACAGGCAACACAAAUUGGAGAAGCAGUUGAGCAAUACAGUCACGUGCAUGCAAUGGAAUUAUCCUUUUUAAGUGUGUGCAUCAAGUACCAUUGUCUUGUUGGAGACUUGUAGGAGGUGACAUGGGGCAGGAUAUAAUAAUUAGGUGUACCAAAACCAUAAAGUGAGCUAAGCAUAGCAAUGGUUUAGGUGUCCAGUGUCCUUGUUCUGUACACCGUACUAAAAUAUAUACUCCCUGGUGGGAAUUGGUGUUUCAGGCUUCAUACCUAUCUAUCCAUGGAUGCAAAUUUAUGUCUACAACAUAUACAUUGGUUAAUUAGAACUCUGAAUCAAAGAGGAUAAUAAAGUUUCUCAAUCCAAA
Molecule: long non-coding RNA, 2453 nt
Organism: Panicum virgatum (switchgrass)
Lineage: Eukaryota; Viridiplantae; Streptophyta; Magnoliopsida; Poales; Poaceae
Exons: 2
Source: RefSeq, a predicted model, not a curated record